UGGGGAUUUUCCGCAAUGGGCGCAAGCCUGACGGAGCAACGCCGCGUGAGGGAGGAAGGCCUGUGGGUUGUAAACCUCUUUUCUCAAGGAAGAACACAAUGACGGUACUUGAGGAAUCAGCAUCGGCUAACUCCGUGCCAGCAGCCGCGGUAAGACGGAGGAUGCAAGCGUUAUUCGGAAUUAUUGGGCGUAAAGCGUCCGUAGGUGGUUAUAAAAGUCUGUUGUUAAAGCCCACAGCUCAACUGUGGAUCGGCAAUGGAAACUGUAUGACUUGAGUGUGGUAGGGGUAGAGGGAAUUCCUAGUGUAGCGGUGAAAUGCGUAGAUAUUAGGAAGAACACCAGUGGCGAAGGCGCUCUACUGGGCCAUAACUGACACUGAUGGACGAAAGCUAGGGGAGCGAAAGGGAUUAGAUACCCCAGUAGUC
RNAcentral lists this ribosomal RNA (425 nucleotides) under uncultured cyanobacterium. Its description in RNAcentral is "bacterial SSU rRNA". It matches the Rfam family "Bacterial small subunit ribosomal RNA", at positions 356 to 795 of the family's 1533-position model. Lineage: Bacteria; Bacillati; Cyanobacteriota. The record is from RNAcentral.